AUGGGGUGAGUAGGCGCGAAACCUUCACAAUGUGCGAAAGCACGAUGAGGGGAUCCCAAGUGCUUGCUCGUAAGAGUAAGCUGUUUCUAUGUCUAAAAAGCAUAGAGAGUAAGGGCUGGGUAAGACGGGUGCCAGCCGCCGCGGUAAUACCUGCAGCUCAAGUGGUGACCGCUAUUAUUGGGCCUAAAACGUUCGUAGCCGGUUUGGUAAAUGCCUGGGUAAAUCGUGUAGCUUAACUAUACGAAUUCCGGAUAGACUGCCAAACUUGAGACCGGGAGAAGCUAGAGGUACUCCUGGGGUAGAGGUGAAAUUCUGUAAUCCUGGGGGGACCACCAGUGGCGAAGGCGUCUAGCUAGAACGGGUCUGACGGUGAGGAACGAAGCCCUGGGGCGCAAACCGGAUUAGAUACCCGGGUAGUCCAGGGUGUAAACGCUGCUUGCUUGAUGUUAGUUGGGCUCCGAGCCCAAUUAGUGUCGGAGAGAAGUUGUUAAGCAAGCUGCCUGGGAAGUACGAUCGCAAGAUUGAAACUUAAAGGAAUUGGCGGGGGAGCAC
RNAcentral lists this ribosomal RNA (552 nucleotides) under uncultured euryarchaeote. RNAcentral's name for it is "bacterial SSU rRNA". It matches the Rfam family "Archaeal small subunit ribosomal RNA", at positions 325 to 879 of the family's 1478-position model. The record is from RNAcentral. Lineage: Archaea; Methanobacteriati; Methanobacteriota.